This 724-nucleotide long non-coding RNA is filed under the name Olea europaea subsp. europaea. Lineage: Eukaryota; Viridiplantae; Streptophyta; Magnoliopsida; Lamiales; Oleaceae. The record is from RNAcentral.
GGGAAGGCAUGGAAUCCCUAGUGCGUGCGGGCCCCAAAAUGGUUUUUGACUGGUGAGCUAGGGGGCACUGCACACCAUUUCAUGCCCAAAACUUGUCUCUUUGCUUAACCAAUAUAAGUUAAUUACGACCCCACUCUAAACCACCCCUAUAAGUACCCUUCAAAUCCUUCAAAACAUCCUCACAACCAUUAGUGCAAAACUCAAACACAAAUUCUCUUACUAUACAACAAGUUCUUCCACUCAAGAACAUCAUGAAAAUGAACAGCACCAACGUGGGAAACUCCAAAAGAAGGAUUUCGAGCAGAGGCCUUGGAGGCCUCCUUAGAGAACAAAGGGCUAGGCUCUACAUAAUAAGGAGGUGUGUUGUCAUGCUUCUUUGCUAUCACGAUUGAUCAAAGCUUUCGUUGAUGGACAAGGACGAGAAGAAUUUACACUUUUUCUUACUUUUUCCAACUUUCUUAGAGUGUAAAUAGCAAUAGCUACACGUACUAGCUACAAGCUAACAAUUUUGUAUUGACCGACCUAAUUCGGCUUCAUGUAUAUUGUACAUCCAAUAGCUUGUAUUGAAACGAUCAUUUUGAUUUCAUUACAUAUGUUAAAUUCCUUUUCUUUUUUUCCAUUCAAUCUUUAGUCUUGAUGUGAUGAUGAAAAUCCAAUUUUCUUCGAUUUUUCGCAAUAUAUAUCUACUUUAUUUACGUGGCAGCAAAUACAAAUUGAUCAGUUA